UACGAGGAGCCCGAGCGUUAUCCGGAUUUACUGGGCGUAAAGGGUGUGUAGGGGGUCUUAUUAGUCUCUUGUUAAAAACCGGCGCUCAACGCCGGAGAUGCGGGAGAAACGGUAAGACUUGGAGUGUGCCAGAGGCAAGCGGAACUCACGGUGUAGGGGUGAAAUCCGUUGAUAUCGUGGGGAACACCAAAGGCGAAGGCAGCUUGCUGGGGCACUACUGACCCUGAAACACGAAAGCGUGGGGAUCAAAAAGG
Molecule: ribosomal RNA, 254 nt
Filed under: uncultured bacterium
Lineage: Bacteria
Description: partial 16S ribosomal RNA
Rfam family: Bacterial small subunit ribosomal RNA
Source: RNAcentral